RNAcentral lists this long non-coding RNA (300 nucleotides) under Carica papaya (papaya). Its description in RNAcentral is "long non-coding RNA (CPAP_LNC003520)". Lineage: Eukaryota; Viridiplantae; Streptophyta; Magnoliopsida; Brassicales; Caricaceae. The record is from RNAcentral.
ACGAACGAGAUCAAUCGUGAUGGACGGACCAUAUCAACAGAGAAUAGUUAUAAAUACUUCACAUCACGCGAGAACCUAAACCCUAGCCGCUAGGCCCUGCCGGAGAAGAAGAACCAAACGCCGGAUAAGGAGGCUAACUACCGAUCGCCGCUACACCGGAGCCACCAUCGAUAACUAAAAAAGGUAAAAAUUUCUCCUACCCGCUCGGAAUUCGAUUCCGAGUACCCUGUGGCCAAAUCGGAGUAAGAGGGAUGGUGGGUGAGCCGAAAACUGCGGGCAAAGCCCAGUGGAGCCGCCACG